This 269-nucleotide ribosomal RNA is filed under the name uncultured prokaryote. RNAcentral's name for it is "partial 16S ribosomal RNA". It matches the Rfam family "Bacterial small subunit ribosomal RNA", at positions 524 to 792 of the family's 1533-position model. The record is from RNAcentral.
UACGGAGGAUCCGAGCGUUAUCCGGAUUUAUUGGGUUUAAAGGGUGCGCAGGCGGGAGAUUAAGUCGGCGGUGAAAUUUUGCAGCUCAACUGUAAAAGUGCCUUCGAAACUGGUUUCCUUGAGUGUAGAUGAAGUAGGCGGAAUUUGUGGUGUAGCGGUGAAAUGCAUAGAUAUCACGAGGAACUCCGAUUGCGCAGGCAGCUUACUAAACCAUAACUGACGCUCAGGCACGAAGGCGUGGGGAUCAAACAGGAUUAGAUACCCGUGUA